UGGGGAAUUUUGGACAAUGGGGGAAACCCUGAUCCAGCCAUCCCGCGUGUGCGAUGAAGGCCUUCGGGUUGUAAAGCACUUUUGGCAGGAAAGAAACGUCAUGGGUUAAUACCCCGUGAAACUGACGGUACCUGCAGAAUAAGCACCGGCUAACUACGUGCCAGCAGCCGCGGUAAUACGUAGGGUGCAAGCGUUAAUCGGAAUUACUGGGCGUAAAGCGUGCGCAGGCGGUUCGGAAAGAAAGAUGUGAAAUCCCAGAGCUCAACUUUGGAACUGCAUUUUUAACUACCGGGCUAGAGUGAGUCAGAGGGGGAUGGAAUUCCGCGUGUAGCAGUGAAAUGCGUAGAUAUGCGGAGGAACACCGAUGGCGAAGGCAGCCUCCUGGGAUAACACUGACGCUCAUGCACGAAAGCGUGGGGAGCAAACAGG
Molecule: ribosomal RNA, 429 nt
Filed under: Acidobacteriota bacterium
Lineage: Bacteria; Pseudomonadati; Acidobacteriota
Description: Acidobacteria bacterium partial 16S ribosomal RNA
Rfam family: Bacterial small subunit ribosomal RNA
Source: RNAcentral